Molecule: long non-coding RNA, 188 nt
Organism: Pistacia vera
Lineage: Eukaryota; Viridiplantae; Streptophyta; Magnoliopsida; Sapindales; Anacardiaceae
Exons: 3
Source: RefSeq, a predicted model, not a curated record
UGAAGCUGCACGAUUACUUCUUGCUCAUGGUGCUUCUGAGGAUGAUUUAACUGAGGUUAUGGAGCGACACCACUAAAGCUUGCGGUUUUGCACGCAGUUCGAACUGAAGACUGUUCAAUUGUCAAGACAUUGCUCGAGAAUAAUGCUGAUUAUAAUGUUAAAGAUGAUAAGGGCAUGACCGUUCUAGA